This 394-nucleotide ribosomal RNA is filed under the name uncultured bacterium. RNAcentral describes it as "bacterial SSU rRNA". It matches the Rfam family "Bacterial small subunit ribosomal RNA", at positions 505 to 898 of the family's 1533-position model. The record is from RNAcentral.
GUGUCAGCAGCCGCGGUAAGACGAACCGUGCGAACGUUGUUCGGAUUCACUGGGCUUAAAGGGCGCGUAGGCGGACCCGCCAGUCUGGGGUGAAAUCGUUCGGCUUAACCGGACCAUUGCCUUGGAUACUGCGGGUCUCGAGCGAGGUAGGGGCAUGCGGAACUUCCGGUGGAGCGGUGAAAUGCGUUGAUAUCGGAAGGAACUCCGGUGGCGAAAGCGGCGUGCUGGACCUCUUCUGACGCUGAGGCGCGAAAGCUAGGGGAGCAAACGGGAUUAGAUACCCCGGUAGUCCUAGCCCUAAACGAUGGGUACUAGGUAGUGGACUUGACAUGGGUUCACUGCCGAAGCCAAAGUGGUAAGUACCCCGCCUGGGGAGUAUGGUCGCAAGGCUGAA